RNAcentral lists this transfer RNA (72 nucleotides) under Dipodomys ordii (Ord's kangaroo rat). It matches the Rfam family "tRNA". From Rfam's summary of the family: Transfer RNA (tRNA) molecules are approximately 80 nucleotides in length. Their secondary structure includes four short double-helical elements and three loops (D, anti-codon, and T loops). Lineage: Eukaryota; Metazoa; Chordata; Mammalia; Rodentia; Heteromyidae. The record is from Rfam by way of RNAcentral.
GGGGCUGUAGUUUAGUGUUAGAAUGCUUGUCUAACAUGCAUGAAGCCCUGGGAUCUAUCCCUAGCAUCCUGA